Pan troglodytes (chimpanzee) is the source of this 2978-nucleotide long non-coding RNA. RefSeq lists it as uncharacterized. NCBI's taxonomy places the organism in Eukaryota, Metazoa, Chordata, Mammalia, Primates, Hominidae. The record is from RefSeq and is a predicted model, not a curated record. The transcript is spliced from 2 exons.
UUUUGAGACAGCAUCUCUCUCUCUCUCUCUCUGUUGCUGAGGCUGGAGUGCAGUGGUGCAAUCACAGAUCACUGCAGCCUUGAACUCUUGGGCUCAAGCAUCCUCCUGCCUCAGCCUCCUAAGUAUCUGGGACUACAGGUGCAUGCCACCAUGCCCAGCUAAUUUUAAUUUUUUGUAGAGACACGGUCUCCCUAUGUUGCCCAGGCUGGUCACAAACUCCUGGCUUUAAGCAGUCUCCCUGCCUCAGCCUCUGAAAACGCUGGGAUUCCAGGGGUAAGCCACUGCACCUGGCGAGAAAUCUGCAUUUUUAAAGAGCUUUUUCAGAAGGUUCAUUUAUGGUCAGCCAGGUUUGAAAACCACUGACUGAGAAGGUACUGGAAGGUUCUGGCCUCAGCCUCAUCAUCAUUGAGAUCAAAGGGUUCCUGGAAGGUCUCAGAGAUGGCAUGGUCACCAUGCUAAUUCUAGCCCAAGUGGAGCAGGAAUGUGUGUGUCUGGGUGCACACUGCUGAGUCCAGCUCUCACUGGGAACUCAAGGGGACUCUAAACCUGUGGCUUCCAUCCUGAGGGCUCUGGGAACUAGCUUUGCGCAUUCAUAUGCAGUCCAAGCCCCUUAUACCCUCCAGUGUUGUUUUUCAAAAUGUAUACCUGUGCUCAUGGUGCCUACGUUAAAAACACCGCUAACCUCAGAGCAGCUUUUUACAAACUUAUAUCUCCAUCAACACUUACUAGAAGUGUACCUACUAUUAACAUGUGUAUUGGGUAGAGGACCAAUGUGCAAAUUUAAAAUAUAUGUAUAUUAAAUAGAGCUCUUCAAGCAUGGACAGGCUGGGAAGUCCUGGGGAGAGGGCCUCCCUGAAGCCAGUGGCUACCUCUGAGUUAAUGAGCAGCUGGGUGGCUGCUGCCCUGACCGCUGGGCAGGCAGUCACCCCACUCCCACCCCACUCGGGUGACAGCUGGCCCGGGGGCAGUCCAGGACUUGAGUCAUCCCAGUCUGUGACAGGGAGGGCAACGUUAGAGAGGAGGGCCUCGGACAGAGUGAGCCUUUUGACCAUGGAACUGCCUGGGGUGAGGGUGAGGGCACCGUGGCUGCCAUCCUAGUGAAGCCCCACCCCACCCGCUACUUCAGGCUGACUCUUAGAUUCUUAGAAGAGUUCUCAGCCUGCCCAACAUUGAGUGGAAGGGUUUGGGUGUUAAUGGCCUCAAAGGCUUCUGUCAGGCCCACAAAGACACCAUGAACAAGCCCUCAAUACCUGGCCAACCGCAUGGCUGACCCCAUGGUCCUUCCCUAGGCGUGGGCAGGGGCUAUGGAGAGUGAUCUGGCCAGCGUCUGAUUCAUAGGCACAAAUCAAAACGGCCACUGAAGACCACGUGGCUUCCUGCGGGCAGGAAAGGAGAUUUCACUCCUGCGCAGCCCAAGGACACAAGAAGCCCUGGCCAUAUGGCCAUCUGGAGAGGAGAGCACACCGGACACCUGAGGCUGUGUGAGGUGAAGGCCAGCAGUGUCCGAAUGCUCUCGGAUGCCCCUGUGCUCAACAGCACGAUCCCCAGUCCCCAGGCGCCCAGCUGGGAAAUUCUGCUUGGUCUGUGGUAAAUGCCCUUUCUGAAAAGCAACCAUGACCUUCUCAAGAAUACUUCAGAGGCACUUUUGCUCCUUCUCCACUAACCGACAUCCUGUUUUGCUGGAACACAUGGGGCAGAGCGCACACAGCUUUGUUCCUGCACCCGCCCUCAGAGCUUUGCCACCUGUUUUCAGGCUGCCUCCGCCUCCAAACCCUGCAGAGCCCUCCCUGCCCCGUGCUUUGAAGCAGUUUCUUUGGAAGCUGCUGCACAGGGGUUAACGACAAGCAACAACUCAGGUCGCAUUCUUGUCAACGGAAGGGAGGGCCAGGUGGAACCGCCAAGGGGGCCAUUUCUGGCUCUGCUGGAGGCUGUCAGCUUCUGGUGGGAGCCACAGCCUGAGGGCAGCCAGGAUGGCUCUGCUGGGAGGGACACCCUGCCCAACCCUGGGAGCAGGUGACGAAGGCUCCUGGAUGCAUGGUCACAUCCCUGGGUCCCAGAGGCAGGAACAAAGCCCCCAGGGCAGGUGGGUGAAGGCUGCUGGGGGUCGGAGGGGAAGCCUUGCUGCCCAGGAGCUCAGGCCAGGCUGAAAAGGGCAAUGCCACAGAACCCCUGGAAGGAGCAGGACAGCAGACAGUGUUCCAGACGAGACUGCAGAGGGCCGGGGAGCCAAGCACCAAGGGGACGUCAGGAGGGGCCAUGAGGCCUUCUCUGAAAGCCACUGUGGCACCAGCAUUUGCGAAGGGCCUGAAUGACUCCUCUUUUAAUGGACAGGCAUCCAAGGGCUUCUGGAGAGCCACAGAAAACCUGGCGUGGAGGUUGCUGCUUGCCUUCUAGGAAUGAUCUUGGAUGUGCUGGUGGCAAUUCCCCCUCCCUUUGGUGAUCCCCCUCACAUCUGCCCCAAGCGACUUCUCCAGGGCCAGCCUUAGGAGGCAGAGAGAUCCCGCUCUGGACUGCUGUCCCAGGCCCUGAGGGUGCCAUGGGUUACAUGUGUGUUUACAUGAGUCUAUGAGUUGAAUCCCCAUAAGCCUGGGGGAAGCACCAUGUCUGAAGCAGCAGCUGCAUUUGUAAGAUGAAGAUCUGAGCCAGUUUUUCAUUAUAUCUGCAGUGUUCAUCAAGAAAGGGCCUCCGGGUUUGUGUUUACUGGACAUGAAUUGAGCUGCUCUCCAGAGAUAAGAAAAAAAUAUUACAGCCCUGCUAUGUGGGCACCCCACGGCAGCCCCCGGGGUUAAGGGGCAGCUUUCUUUCCAAGGAAUCCCAUUGCCAAAGAUGAACCUUCAGAUGGGGAAACUGAGGACCCAGAGGAAGCAAGAGCAGCCCCAGGCCACACAACCCUCUUUUUAUUAUUCAUUCACUGACUACACUGCAGAGGUUGGACCCAUAUCUCAUUAUUUGAAUAGUAAAUUGUUUUUUCUUCCUGA